RNAcentral lists this ribosomal RNA (375 nucleotides) under uncultured bacterium. Its description in RNAcentral is "bacterial SSU rRNA". It matches the Rfam family "Bacterial small subunit ribosomal RNA", at positions 28 to 402 of the family's 1533-position model. The record is from RNAcentral.
GACGAACGCUGGCGGCGUGCUUAACACAUGCAAGUCGAGCGGUAAGGCCCUUUCGGGGGUACACGAGCGGCGAACGAGUGAGUAACACGUGGGUGACCUGCCCUUCGCUCUGGGAUAAGCCUGGGAAACGUGGGUCUAAUACCGGAUAUGACUCCAUAACGCAUGUUGUGGGGUGGAAAGCCUUGUGCGGCUAGGGAUGGGCCCGCGGCCUAUCAGCUUGUUGGUGGGGUGANGGCCUACCAAGGCGACGACGGGUAGCCGGCCUGAGAGGGCGACCGGCCACACUGGGACUGAGACACGGCCCAGACUCCUACGGGAGGCAGCAGCGGGGAAUCUUGCGCAAGUGGGCGAAAGCCUGACGCAGCGACGCCGCGU